UAUUAAUAGAUAAAGAUUAACUAAAGUUAAAUACAAUAAAUUUAAAUAUAAAUAAUUUAUUAAUUAGCUUACUGAAAAGGAUUAUUUUUAAAUAAUUAAAAAGAAAGUUUAAUGUACCUUUUGCAUUAGGGGUUUUCAAAAUAAAAUAAAAUUUUAUUUUUCUCGAAACAUUUUGAGCUAAAAUUUAAAUUAAUUUAAUGUUUCAAUAUUAAAUUUAAUUAAAUUUUAGAGGUGAAAUUCUAUUCAAAAAUUGUGAUAUCUAGUUACAUAAAAUAACUAUAUGUUUCUCUAUAAUUAAAACUUAAUUUAAAAUUUUACAGAGAAGUAAUUUUGGGAUAAACUAAAAUUAAUCAGCCUAAAAAUUUUUUAAAACUUAAAUAAAGGAAUAAAAUUUUCCCUUUUAUUUUUAUAAAUAAUUUAUUUUAAUUUAAAGUUAAAUGACAUUUGUUACUUAUUAAAUUAAAUUUAAAAUUUAAGUAAAAAUGAAAAUAUUAGUAAAAUAACUAAAAUAAACUUAAAUUUAUUAAGAAAAUUAAAAAAAAUUUUAUAUAGUUUAUAUGAAUUAGGCAAAAAUUUCUCUGACUGUUUAAUAAAAACAACGCAUUUAGAAAAUAAAUAAAUGUAAAUCCUGCUCAAUGAAUAUUUAAAUUGCUGUAGUAUUUUGACUAUACAAAGGUAUUGAAAUAAGAUUUUAAUUGAAUGCUAAGAGAAUGGAAUUUCAGGGAAAAACUUUAUUUAAACUAUUAAUUAAAGUUUUUUUAAUUUGUGCGGAAACAAUUAUAAAAAUUAAGGACAAGAAGACCCUACGAAUUUAUCAAAUUUAUUAUUUGUAUUAAAACUAAUAGUAAGUUUUAGCUGGGGCGGCAAGAAAAUAUAAAAAACUUUUCAUAAAUAAAAUGAUCCAUUACUAAUGAUUAAAUGAAAAAAUACUCUAGGGAUAACAGCGUUAUAUUUUUUGAUAGACCAUAUUGACAAAAAAGUUUGCGACCUCGAUGUUGGAUUAGGAUACUUUUUUAAUGCAGAUAUUAAAAAAAGAAGUUUGUUCAACUUUUAAAUUCCUACAUGAUCUGAGUUUAGACCGAUGAGAAUCAGGUUGGAUUCUAUCUUAAUAAUAAUGAAUUUUCAAUUAGUACGAAAGGAAUUUUGAAUUCUAAUUAUUAGGAUAAACAAUUUUAUUUGCAUCAAUUUUUGUAAUU
RNAcentral lists this ribosomal RNA (1196 nucleotides) under Rhipicephalus zambeziensis. RNAcentral's name for it is "16S ribosomal RNA". The stretch from base 791 to 1106 matches the Rfam family "Archaeal large subunit ribosomal RNA", at positions 2155 to 2712 of the family's 2987-position model. Lineage: Eukaryota; Metazoa; Arthropoda; Arachnida; Ixodida; Ixodidae. The record is from RNAcentral.